GGCAGAUCCAAAACCCUAGCCACCUUAAAAUCCGACUCCGCAAUUAGCCGCACCUCCACGAACCUCGCUGUCCAACCAAAGGCCACCGGUGACGACAGAUCUGGAAGAACCGCCAUGGUCGGACCCCGAAUCAAUCAUCAACCAACGACAUCAGUGCUUCAGCAUAUCGGCUAGGGGGAGAGGCUAAGUAACGAAGCAAAGGGAAAACGAGAGGGGAGAAGGAGGCACCGACACCAGCG
This 239-nucleotide long non-coding RNA is filed under the name Brassica napus (rape). Its description in RNAcentral is "long non-coding RNA (BNAP_LNC009935)". The record is from RNAcentral. Lineage: Eukaryota; Viridiplantae; Streptophyta; Magnoliopsida; Brassicales; Brassicaceae.